CCAGGUUCCGUAGGUGAACCUGCGGAAGGAUCAUUAGUGAAUUCUUGGGAAGUCCCUCUUAACCGGAGAAGGUCCCGUAUUCUACUAUCUUUACACCCUGUGCAAUUGUCCCUUUUUUACUAUAACCCUUGUGCAUUACAAAAGGUUGUUGUCUUACAMACAUUUGAUAAAUGAAAGAAAAACUUUCAGCAAUGGAUCUCUUGGCUCUCGCAUCGAUGAAGAACGCAGCAAAGCGCGAAAUGUAAUGUGAAUUGCAGAAUUCAGUGAAUCAUCGAAUCUUUGAACGCACCUGGCGCUCUUGGGUUAUUCCUAGGAGCAUGUUCGUUUGAGUGUCGCUUACCCCUCCACCCCCUCUCCUUUUAACGGGAGAGCGUCUCAGGGUGGGAUCGUGACGCGUUUGCCUUAAUGCAAGGCUGCGUUGAAUUGCAAGAAGCUGUACCUUUGUUACUGGCGGCUUGACCCGUUGUCAUAAGUUUAACUACUCUCAAUGGGGACGCCGGUCGGGAUGGGCUUACCACAAAUCUAAAAGUGAUUUUAAACUUGACCUCAAAUCGAGCAGGACUACCCCCUGAACUUAAGCAUAUCAAAA
RNAcentral lists this ribosomal RNA (589 nucleotides) under Mycogloea nipponica. Its description in RNAcentral is "eukaryotic LSU rRNA". The stretch from base 181 to 335 matches the Rfam family "5.8S ribosomal RNA". The record is from RNAcentral. Lineage: Eukaryota; Fungi; Basidiomycota; Spiculogloeomycetes; Spiculogloeales; Spiculogloeaceae.